Molecule: transfer RNA, 64 nt
Filed under: Cucujoidea sp. 11 KM-2017
Lineage: Eukaryota; Metazoa; Arthropoda; Insecta; Coleoptera
Description: tRNA-Pro
Source: RNAcentral
CAGAAAAUAGUUUAUUAAAAUAAUAAUUUUGGAGAUUAUUGAUAGGAAGUUUUCCUUUUUCUGA